RNAcentral lists this long non-coding RNA (2723 nucleotides) under Triticum aestivum (bread wheat). RNAcentral describes it as "long non-coding RNA (TAES_LNC006111)". Lineage: Eukaryota; Viridiplantae; Streptophyta; Magnoliopsida; Poales; Poaceae. The record is from RNAcentral.
AUCAAAAGCUAGCACACCCAGUACAAAUAUGAAUAUGAAGCACAAACGUCAUUUUAUUACAUCGAAGAUCCAAAGUUCAAUUUAUUACAACUCUCUCAGCUGAAGGCUGAGUUACAUAGCGGAAGCAAAUAACAUAAUAAUAAUCCUGAGCCUAUCAGUCGCCACAAGGCUAGUUGAGUGUAGCUCCGUAGCCCUAUCUCGUCACUCAUCAUCUGCACAUGACACGUACAGGUAAGUACUUUGAAUGUACUCGCAAGUUGCAACAAGAGUGAUAACAAAUAUUCAUGCUGGGUUGGUGUCUAGGAUUUAUUUGCGAAAAGCCAAUUUUUCUCCUAGAAUAUAAACAAAAUAAAUAAAACGAGUUUUGAUAAACAUUUUUUUAAACAUAGAGUUUAAGUGAAUACUUGGAUAUCCGCACCAAGAUUCAUAAAAAAUAAUUUUCUCCUUUAGGUUGAAGUAAAACACCCCACUGUGUUUAACUUCCACCUAACCCUUUAUAAAAUAGCUUUGAGAAAAGAGAGGGGAGAUUCUUCUUCAGUCCAAGUCUUCAGUUGCUCAAAAUUGCCCGUAACCGGGGGCACGGCUAAUCGAUUAGGUUAAACCCUCUGCAGAGGUCGUACACGUUCCCCACAUGACACAACCAACCCCGUUUACCGUUACACACUUGGGUGUACGACUAGGAGGAGAUUGUGACAAAGCCUUUCGUAACAGCCCCCUAUACCUGACCAAGCCGCCCGCAACUUAGGCAAUGAAAGCCCCUCUCUGAUGGCGGUCUUGAGGUAAGGGUUUUCCAAUAGUACUAAGCUAAGCCAGAGCCCAUAGUAGCAUGUGGCUGUACAAACCGUACUUGGAAGAUCUCAUUCCCCUGGACGACGGUCCCCACCAAAAACAUGUGUGCAAGGCCCCAGUCGGGCGCAUUCACUGCAAGACCCCGAUGGGCGCAAUCACUUGAAGACGCUCCCGUCAUACCAGUCCGCCCAGGGAGUAGAAGUAAAAAAAAUAGUUUUUGCUUUUUCAAAAUAUUUUCUAAAUCAUUGUUCCAAGGGAACAAGUUUGUAAUUUUCAAAAUAUUUGGUCCACCCCCAACUACAAGCAUGACUAAGCGUAUAGUCCAAUAGCAUUGGAUCCUAGGGCUUUACUACUAGCAAAAUAUUUCCAAAAACAACAAUAUAAAACCCUACACAUGCAUACUACUUGCUUUGAAAGUCAAUGCAAAAUUAAACACGGGAUAAAUAUGGUCAAGGUUGCAACUUGCCUUCUGACUCACAGCAACACGGUUCUACCUCCUCGUAGAAUUCGCCUUCGCACUCGUCGCAAUCUAAUGCAACAAAGUACUUAAGUAAGUCACUCCACAUAUCAAACAUUAACAUAACAAGUGAUCAAGAAAAACCAUCCAACACACAAUUCAUGUCAAACAACCCUAGCCAGUAUAUCCAUAUGAUUCGAGUUUAUGCACUUUGAUCGGUUCCUAUGUAUGGUUUAUAGUUCAUGUUAAUAAACUAAUUAAUAAUCCUAUAACUCUAAAUUUUUAUGACGACAACAACUAACCAGAAAGGUUUUCUACGGAUAAAUUUAAUGGUUUUAACAAUGAAACAAAUUUUAGUUUAACGAGUUUAUUAAACGAUAAUCAAAGGAGGUCAAAAUUAUGUAUUGUGCUAAAACAGUAACUAAACCUUACUAAAAAAUAUUCUAUGAGUUCUAGCAGAUUGGUAUGAUUCCAAGGACCAAUUUUCAUAUGUAAAACUUGUUCAUAUCACUCGCAGAAUAAAAGAUUCAGUAAAAAUACUCAAAUUAUCAUUUAAAUCAAAACGAAAUUUUAAUUAGCGUAAAAGUGAGAUUUCAAUAUUUUAUAAUAAACUAAAGGUCCUCAGCUAUCCAGGGAUAUCUUAUUUGUCAAAUUUGGAUAAGCGGUUUAAAAGGUGUGAUUUUUCUAAGUUGGACUAAAUUUCUGGAAAAGAAGCGAGGUAAGAAAAAGAGUCGCCACAUGGCAGAAUUCUAUAGGCUAAUACUAUGUCGUUUUUUUUUUACAGAAAGAGGGCUGGCCUCACCGGAGGAGUUGGCCGGCGAUGGACAACAAACUUGGCGUGCUCUCGCUCGAUGAUGCGGAUGUCUUCGGCAACGAAAGAGAGGUGGACGGAGUAGAGGAAGUCGAGGAAAACUUGCUGAACACCAAAACGCGCUUGGAACCGUCCUCUGGUGACCGUGAUGCGUCGCCGGAGUUGGGCGGAGCUCCGACCAGAUGCGUACUCCGGCUUAGUAAAACAAAGAAUCAACAUGUUAGGAUGGUGCCCAAGGUCGAGAUAUGAAGGAUGGAAGAGUUAGAAUGUCUGCUUCACCUCGGACUCGCCGGAACCUUGCCCGAACAGCACCAGCGUCACGCAACUCCGGUGAGCAAUUCACGACGAUGGGUAGGGGUAUAAGCUCCCGAAGGAGAGGGGUUCGGGCAAGGAGGGAGUUGUGAGGGGACGGGGCCUUUUAUAGGAUGCAGGGGAGGUCGGAACGUUGCAGGGCGUCGUCGGAAUUAUGGCGUCUUCAUGGCGGCUGUUUCCGGUGUUCUAAUGGCCAUUAGGGCGCGGUUUAGUGCGGGUAACGGAAGAGUAGAAGUUAGGGCAGAGUGGGGGUCCGUUCAGAGCGGAUUUGGGGCGAGGUAGAGGAGGGGAGGGGUCGGGCGCGAGUGGGGUGCGGGCGCUGGCUCGUUGCCUGAGUCUGACGAGAGGUUGAGG